Non-coding RNA from Caenorhabditis elegans, 21 nucleotides. The record is from Ensembl. Lineage: Eukaryota; Metazoa; Nematoda; Chromadorea; Rhabditida; Rhabditidae.
UUUCUGGACGUUUUCAGCAAU